AGGUAGCCGUACCGGAAGGUGCGGCUGGAUCACCUCCUACAGGGAGACAAAAAAAUGAUUGUGAUGUCUGAGUAAAUUAUUCUUAGACUAUAAUCCUGUCACCUUAGGUCGAUCGGUACCUCAAGUUAAUAGCUAAAUAAAACUGACAAUUCAGUAUUGGUUAGUAAUUAGCUUCAGUUCCUAAACUUUGUCUAGGUCACACCCAACAAGGGUACUCCUGGGCCAUUAGCUCAGGUGGUUAGAGCGCACCCCUGAUAAGGGUGAGGUCCCUGGUUCAAGUCCAGGAUGGCCCAUUCGGUGUUGGGGGUUUAGCUCAGUUGGUAGAGCGCCUGCUUUGCAAGCAGGAUGUCAGCGGUUCGAGUCCGCUAACCUCCACUGGCAGACCUCCUUGAAUUAACUUAAAGGAGAUUUUGUUGGUUCAAUGUGAUUUAGACUAUAGCUUCACUGGAUGAACCUAGCUUCCUAUCAUUCCUUUUCUAUCAAUUGAUAGUAGAUAAGGCUGAUAGCACGCUGGGCUCACUGCAAUUCCAAAAGAUUGCAGGGAUCUUCAGUAGAACCUUGACAACUACAUAGUGAGUCUGGAAAAAAUAAAGCAUCUCAUGGAUGCAUUAUUUACAUAACAUAAUUACGAUUAUGAUUUGAAAAUAAUGUUAAUUCUUGAGCAAGAGCUGAGACUUUAUAGCGUUCUUUUGAUGCCUUUAAAUGCAUUAAGAGUCAGAUUAUUUAUUCAAUAAACUCUUUGAAUAAAUAAGAAAAGUGUUAACAGCACAAAACGCUAUAAAGAUGAAUGGUCAAGCUACAA
Molecule: transfer RNA, 802 nt
Filed under: uncultured Prochlorococcus sp.
Lineage: Bacteria; Bacillati; Cyanobacteriota; Cyanophyceae; Synechococcales; Prochlorococcaceae
Description: partial 16S-23S ribosomal RNA intergenic spacer; may also contain 16S ribosomal RNA and 23S ribosomal RNA
Rfam family: tRNA (bases 303-375)
Source: RNAcentral